UGGGUCUGCGGCUAUAACACUGAAACAGAUUCAGUCCAAGACCUCAUGGAGUGACAGCCCGUGAGGCAGAGGGACAAACAGGCUUCCUGGCUUUGAGUGUGAUGAGAGAGAUAACUAUGAUUUGCUAUGGAAGAAUGCUAAAGGGGCCCAGAAAUCAGAAAAUGCAUUCUGGAAGAUGUAAGAGUCAAAGGACUGAGUGCUGGGGUUAGGGAACAUUCUUCAUUCAUAAAUGGGGAAGGAGGAACUGUGAAGGGGAUUGAAGAAAGGACAUGUGGAGGGGUACCUUGAGGUGAAGAAAGAAAGGCUAUCUCGUGUCUUGUUAAAGUAUUUGGCUUUUAUCCUUAAGCUAAUAGAAGAUUCUAAGCAUGGAACUCUUAAUCAUGAAGACAGCUCUUGACAGAGAUUACCCUGGCUGCUGGGAGGACCAUAGACUGGAGGUGAGUCAUUG
Molecule: long non-coding RNA, 448 nt
Filed under: Marmota monax (woodchuck)
Lineage: Eukaryota; Metazoa; Chordata; Mammalia; Rodentia; Sciuridae
Source: RNAcentral